Molecule: ribosomal RNA, 498 nt
Filed under: uncultured bacterium
Lineage: Bacteria
Description: partial 16S ribosomal RNA
Rfam family: Bacterial small subunit ribosomal RNA
Source: RNAcentral
AUUGAACGCUGGCGGAAUGCUUUACACAUGCAAGUCGAACGGCAGCACGGACUUCGGUCUGGUGGCGAGUGGCGAACGGGUGAGUAAUGUAUCGGAACGUGCCCAGUCGUGGGGGAUAACGUAGUGAAAAUUACGCUAAUACCGCAUACGAUCUAUGGAUGAAAGCGGGGGAUCGCAAGACAUCGCGCGAUUGGAGCGGCCGAUAUCAGAUUAGGUAGUUGGUGGGGUAAAGGCCCACCAAGCCAACGAUCUGUAGCUGGUCUGAGAGGACGACCAGCCACACUGGAACUGAGACACGGUCCAGACUCCUACGGGAGGCAGCUGGGGAAUUUUGGACAAUGGGCGAAAGCCUGAUCCAGCCAUUCCGCGUGCAGGAUGAAGGCCCUCGGGUUGUAAACUGCUUUUGUACAGAACGAAAAGGUUUCUACUAAUACUAGGAGCUCAUGACGGUACUGUAAGAAUAAGCACCGGCUAACUACGUGCCAGCCGCCGCAGUAA